This 2065-nucleotide long non-coding RNA is filed under the name Homo sapiens (human). Its description in RNAcentral is "non-protein coding lnc-CLLU1OS-3:2". The record is from RNAcentral. Lineage: Eukaryota; Metazoa; Chordata; Mammalia; Primates; Hominidae.
GCUCUCUUUUUCUCUCUCCUGCUGCCACAUAAGACAUGCCUUGCUUCCCCUUUUUCUUCUGACAUGAUUAUGCUCUACAAACUGUUUUGAGGCUGCAUCUGGAUUUAGUAAAGAGUGUUGUCAUCAAUUUUCAGCUUCUACCUUAGGUGUAGGAGGGAACUGAGGCAGCAAGCAAGUAUUUGCUCACUGUCUGCAUCUUUCCAGUAUAGAGAAUGCAUCAGAGAAAUGCCUCAACAUGUGUGGCACUGUGUAUAUAAUUUCCAACACUGCAAAAUGGAACAAGCACAAAACUUUGAAGGGACGGUCUAUGUGAUGAAAAGUUGGAACGGCUUCCAAGAGCUGAAAUACAAUGUUGUCAGUGUUUCUCCCUCACCAUGAUAUUUGAACCAAAGCUGUCUGAUAACAAAUGAAAAGCUUUCUGGGAUGUCAGUGUGAUUUCAUUCUGGGAUCCAUUAGGUAUAGAAAAGCAGCCCAAUUAUGACUGGGCAAAUUCCACAGGUCUGGCUGGGCCAAUUGCCAUGGAAUCAGAUCAUAUGGCUGUAUUUAGUGAUAUGGUGGACCAUUCUCAAUUUCCCUUAUCUUAUUCUAUGCACAAAGAUGGCUUGCUUUGUAUUUACUCACUUCAAUUUAAUGUGGCUCUAUCAUCCCUCCCCCACCUCAGAGCCUUUUCCAGCAAAUGGAGGCCUUUUGUUUUUUACCAUACAGAAGAUUCAGGUGACUGUGUGCAGCAUCAUGAGACUGCAGACUAGUUGGGAUUCAUCGGAGUGGCAGCAUUUUGAUCAAACACUGGGAGGAAUGCUGCCAACCUCUGCUCAGGUGGUAGAGACAAGAAGGCUUACGUGUGAUAUUAGAGUUGAUUAUGCAAGGACUCUGUCAUGAAUAAUAACAAUAAUAAUUAUUAUCAUGAUGAGGCAGAAAGAGAAUAAUGAUUUUGGGAAAUCAGUAAAACAAGUCACAUCAGUUUUCUGGCUGAAAGCCAGCCUUAUUUUCUGGUGAAGAGAGAUCAUUGGUGAUUUUAAUAAGUUAGACUAUUUUAUCAAGGAGCUGGGGGAUCUACUGCUGGGCAAAGAAAAAAGUGGGCAACUUCAAAAGAAUUACUUUUAAUUUACUCUGAGAUAUUUGCUGGGGGUGUGAAAAUGAAUUGGGAAGGCAAGUGUAUGCCUGCUUAUUUGUUAAUGAUUUCGUGGACUCAUAGCAAAAGUUGGGAGGGGAUGUUUGAGGUCAUCUAAUCUACGUGGCUUCAAAAUCUUUAUUCUUUAUAAUAGCCUACCUUUUUUGAAAUACACUCUUUUGUUGAACUCCAAUGCAAAACAUGUAAAAGUAGAGAUGAGAGUGGAAGAGAUGGAAUGGAGGGUCAAGAGCAUGAUCACUUAGGUUUGUGCCUCUCUCCACCCACUUGGUUUUUCCAUGAGAUGCUUCUCUUCUACGGAUUCAGUUCGAAAACUCCUGAUUGAAUCCAGCCUCCUCAUUUUAUAAACAGGAGAUCGGGUGACUCGCUCAGAAUCAUGCAAUUGGUUAUCUCACUGGAGCAGCUCUCUGCAGAAUAAUCUCUGCACUAAGCCACACUUGGAGUAUGAAUUGUGACUCUCCUGCCUCCUUAGCCCCUCUAGCCCUUCCCAUCUCUCCUGUCAACAGCGUUCCACUCAUUACCUUAUCCCCGCAUGACUCAAUAGCCUGUGUCCAUAUCGCUGCAAUUUUCAUGACAGUUUAAAGAAAAACACAUCUGUCUCCAUAUACCAAUGAGGGCUCAGUAGGGAACACUGAUUACAUCCUCCACAAUGAGGGCCCCAGGGGCUGCUGCUCCCAAACAUGCCCUGAGUGCAAGGGUUCUAGUCUGUCACCAACAUGGAGAAAAUCUCUCUUGUCACAUUUUAUUGUAUUCACUGGCCACGGGACAGGACGGAGUAAUAAGAAAUUCUGUGCAGGCCUCAGGUUGUUUUGAAUUCUGCUUCUGUUUUUCAGAACUGAUAUUAUUUCUGGCCCUUGAUAAGCGAUAAAUUCUCAUAUCCUGUUUUGUGAGAUUUUUAAUCAUGUGCAGUUAAUAGGCUGAUACAAAGUGUGAGAG